RNAcentral lists this long non-coding RNA (380 nucleotides) under Chinchilla lanigera (long-tailed chinchilla). RNAcentral's name for it is "lncRNA (ENSCLAG00000027516.1)". Lineage: Eukaryota; Metazoa; Chordata; Mammalia; Rodentia; Chinchillidae. The record is from RNAcentral.
GCCUUCCACCCUCGGAGUGGCUUUGAUGAGGACAAGGCCCUCAGCAGAUGGACCAGAGUACAUGUGAAGAAUAAAAGGGAGAAUGUUCCUGGCGGAUGAACUGAUACACUGAGGAGCUGAAAUACAAACAGGGUGGCUGAAGCACCAAAGAGAAGAAAUGAGCCAGCUCUGGAUUCUGUGUGACCUUGACAGGACCCUGCAGACCAGGGAGGUAGUCUUUGCUGGACGGAGGAGGUUCGAGCUGCUAGUUCAGGUAUCCGUUCAGAGACAGAACUGAGCACACAGAAGGACACCCGUGGGGCACAGAAGGACUCUGGGGCCGUGGUGCACAGCCUUGCCCCGACACAUUUGCUGAGGUCCAGGAAGAUGGCACCCGCCCG